GAAAAGAAUCGAGGGAACAGAAAGGAGCCAUAGCGGCCCUUAACAGAAAAUAUACAUUAGUAAAGCCGAGCGUAGGGGUCCGCCUCGUCGGCAGUGAUGGAGGUAACAGGGAAAAGAAUAGAGGUAAGAGAAAGAAUAGAGGGCAGAAAAGAGAGCCGUCGUGUUCCUUUAAAAAUAAAUGUACAUUAGUAAAGCCGAGCGUAGGGGUCCGCCUCGCUGGCAUUGAUAGAGGUAACAGAGAAAAGAAAUAAAUGUACAUAGUAAAGCCGAGCGUAGGGGUCCGCCUCGCUGGCAUUGAUAGAGGUAACAGAGAAAAUAAAUAAAUGUACAUAGUAAAGCCGAGCGUAGGGGUCCGCCUCGCUGGCAUUGAUAGAGGUAACAGAGAAAAGAAUCGAUGUAACGGAAAGAAUAGAGGGCAGAAAAGAGAGCCAUCGCCUUCCUUCAUGGUAAAAGUACAUAGUAAGGCCGGGCGUAGGGUUCCGCCUCGCCGGCUGGAAUCGAGGAAACAAUUAAUCAAAUUGAGGGAACAAUAAAUUAAAAUCUA
Molecule: long non-coding RNA, 544 nt
Organism: Astyanax mexicanus (Mexican tetra)
Lineage: Eukaryota; Metazoa; Chordata; Actinopteri; Characiformes; Acestrorhamphidae
Exons: 3
Source: RefSeq, a predicted model, not a curated record